Molecule: ribosomal RNA, 253 nt
Filed under: uncultured bacterium
Lineage: Bacteria
Description: partial 16S ribosomal RNA
Rfam family: Bacterial small subunit ribosomal RNA
Source: RNAcentral
UACAGAGGUCCCAAGCGUUAUUCGGAUUCACUGGGCGUAAAGGGUGCGUAGGCGGUCGGGUAAGUCUGAUGUGAAAUCUCACAGCUUAACUGUGAAACUGCAUUGGAUACUAUCCGGCUAGAGGAAUGGAGGGGAGACUGGAAUACUUGGUGUAGCAGUGAAAUGCGUAGAUAUCAAGUGGAACACCAGUGGCGAAGGCGAGUCUCUGGACAUUUCCUGACGCUGAGGCACGAAAGCCAGGGGAGCAAACGGG